Molecule: non-coding RNA, 1164 nt
Organism: Heterocephalus glaber (naked mole-rat)
Lineage: Eukaryota; Metazoa; Chordata; Mammalia; Rodentia; Bathyergidae
Source: RefSeq, a predicted model, not a curated record
UUCUGCUCUGGCUAUGGGAAUAAGAACUAUUUCCACAAAUGGAUUAGCUCCAAGGAUUAUCCCUCUAAUCUUUUUGGCUGUUCUUUCCCCAGCCUCAGGUAUUUUUUUCCUCCUGCAUGUGUUGAUCAGUACUCAGUGAAAGACUCCAGAGGGAAACUCUUCAGGUCUCUGGGGAUCUUUCUUUUUUCAGCCCCAGUACUGCUACUCGUAGACUCUAGCAACCAUGGCCCCCUGAGAAUCCUAGAUCAGGAAGUCUCUUCAACUCAGGGUGAUCAAUGAGAUUGGCCUGCAUUUCUUCACCCUACACCAUGACUGGAAACCCUGUAGGGCCUGACUUUCCUGUUGGAAUGUGAAAAGAAAUGGGUUUUGAUUCCAUUGACAUUGGAUAAAUUCCAACAAAUCAUGCUAGGAUUGGAGCUACCAUGUUCAAAAGGUCUUGGCAGUGCCUGAAAGUAAAGCCCAAAGGAUGCUGACCUGUCAUGGAAGUAUUGAGAAGGGAGCAGAUACUCACCUUACAUGAGAGUACGUGCAUCUAAGUAGCAAUGUGGCUUUAUCCAACUCUGCUUUGACUCAAGAUCUUUACUUGGAUCACUUGAGUUGCUUUCUUGAACAUGACUAUUGGAACUCAUGACAUUCUAGUUGAAAGUCUUGUUAUCACUUGCAUAUCCUGUAUAGUAGUCCUCCCUUAUCUGUGAGGAAUAUGUUCCAAGACCACCAACUGGGACCUGAAAUCAAGAAUAGUACUGAACCCUAUAUUUACUAUGGUUUUUCCAAUAUAUACAUAACCUGUGAUAAAGCUUAAUUCAUAAAUUAGGCACCAUAAGAAAUAACAAUAAGAAGCUUUACUGUAAUAUACUGUAAUAAAUGUCACAAGAAUGUGAUCUCUUUCUUUCAAAAGAGAGUGCUUUUACUUCUUCACAUAAAAGAAGUACUUUAUGGCUUCUCUUUAGCAUAUCCACAUUGCCAACAUCAUUACUCUUCCAUUUUGGGGGCCAUUAUUAAGUAAAAUAAGGGUUACUUGAAUAUAACCUCAACACUAGACCUGAUAAUCAAGAUGGCUACUAAGUGUCUAACGGGCAGGUAUCAUAUACAAUGUGAAUACACUGGAACAUGGGAGAUUCAUACUCCUAGCAGGGUAGAGCAGGACAGUAUGAAAUUUUAUCA